RNAcentral lists this ribosomal RNA (496 nucleotides) under uncultured bacterium. RNAcentral's name for it is "partial 16S ribosomal RNA". It matches the Rfam family "Bacterial small subunit ribosomal RNA", at positions 28 to 506 of the family's 1533-position model. The record is from RNAcentral.
GAUGAACACUGGCGGCGUGCCUAAUACAUGCAAGUCGAGCGAACAGACGAGGAGCUUGCUCCUCUGACGUUAGCGGCGGACGGGUGAGUAACACGUGGAUAACCUACCUAUAAGACUGGGAUAACUUCGGGAAACCGGAGCUAAUACCGGAUAAUAUAUUGAACCGCAUGGUUCAAUAGUGAAAGACGGUUUUGCUGUCACUUAUAGAUGGAUCCGCGCCGCAUUAGCUAGUUGGUAAGGUAACGGCUUACCAAGGCGACGAUGCGUAGCCGACCUGAGAGGGUGAUCGGCCACACUGGAACUGAGACACGGUCCAGACUCCUACGGGAGGCAGCAGUAGGGAAUCUUCCGCAAUGGGCGAAAGCCUGACGGAGCAACGCCGCGUGAGUGAUGAAGGUCUUCGGAUCGUAAAACUCUGUUAUUAGGGAAGAACAAAUGUGUAAGUAACUAUGCACGUCUUGACGGUACCUAAUCAGAAAGCCACGGCUAACUACGU